GCCCUGCCUUCCCCAGUCUGCCUGACCUACAUAUUCCAGCAUGGUGUGACUUACGUUCCAUCGCUGACCUACAUUUUCAACCUCAAAAAUAAGAACUCGGGGAAGAGAGGCCAGUAGAUGUGGAAAGAAAUAAGGAAUCUAGCCCUGCAGGGAGAUCUCCAAGCAGUUGCCCAAAAAGCAUGAGGAAAUCCUGCCAUGUAACAUAAAAAGUCAGUUCC
RNAcentral lists this long non-coding RNA (218 nucleotides) under Anser brachyrhynchus (Pink-footed goose). RNAcentral's name for it is "lncRNA (ENSABRG00000022399.1)". Lineage: Eukaryota; Metazoa; Chordata; Aves; Anseriformes; Anatidae. The record is from RNAcentral.